GGAGCAGGGCUGUGGACAGCGCACAAGGCCUGCCGGGCUGCAGAGUGUCAGCCACUCCAUGCGCCGCGGAUCAACCAAGUUAUGCGAAGCGACUAACUCGUGACAGCCUCGGGCGCUGGAUACUGGCCACGCCGCCACCUCUCUCCGGGUCCCAACGCUCAUGCAAGCAGCCUGGUCCCAGACGGCUCGACCCCCGGCCCUCGCCUCUGAGCCAGGGUUUGGGAUUAGGAGAUCUCCGUCACGGGUCAGGAGUCUUGAGGGAUCCUAAUUCCUCGUACUUAACCUCGGGUCGGAGAUGGCAGAGGGGAUCUCAGUCAAAGCCAGAUUAAAGGAGUGACGCGAACUGGGGGGAAGAAAGCAGAGAUCACUGUACCUGACUAGGAGACAGCGCCUGCUGGAGCUGCUGCUGCUCCUCGCUGAUCUUUUGCUUUAGUUUCUUGAACAUGGCGCAGCGCGGGGUCCUGAGUGUGAAUGAGACCUAAGCGGUGCCAGGGUUCUAUGGAUGCUACAGUGAAUAAAACGAAAUACCUUCCCAUAAAGACUUCACGUCCUAGUGGAAAAUACAUAUUCCUAAAGAUACCAAAUUCACCCUUAACGCCUUCAAUCAUUCUAAGAGAUUUUAAUGUUUAUGUGCCUAAUUCAGCCAAGAAUCUGAACUUUGGCCAUCUGUGGACCCUCAAAUCCACCUCAGUAAUUGACUUCUGCAUGUUAUACCUUUGGCAUCGUCUGAAAUUGCUUGACAUUGCCUCAGGUAUCAGAGCUUGAAAAGUAUACUCUGAUUUCCACAUUUUAGCAAGUUUUAUUUACCAGCAAUCAUAAGAGCAAGCUGCUUCCUAAGAUUCCAUAGCCUGAUCCCUACAUGUGUUAGAACUGGAGUGGGUCCUAGUCUAACCAUUGCCCUGACACAUGGCCUCAGUCCUCUCAAAUCUCAUAGUGAACACAUUACCAAGAGUUUCUUUUCUUAUUUUCUCAAGAGUCCUUAUCUCUCAACAGAUUGUAAAGUUCAUAGGCCUUCAGUUAAUACCGGACUCCAGAUGUCCAAUGUGCAUUUUCACCCCAGCAUUCACAAUUACAUAUCAAAGUUCGCUAGUUUUAUAUCUAUACAUAUGUAUGUGUAUAUAUAUCUGCGUGUGUGUAUAUAUACAUAUAUGUGGAUCCUAUCAAAGCAGGCUAUAAUAAAUAACAGAUGAAUAACAAAAGAUGUGAGAUAUCAUUUAGAGAAACGAAAAGAUCAGAGGAAGACUAAUUAUGUGGGGGAAAAAAGGGAUAUCCUCGCUAAGACAAAAAAAAGAGGGUGGAUGGGGAAAAGGAGACAGGGUUGAAACCCUUCAUCACAUUUAACCACAAUUUUGUUGACACAUUAAGCCUCUUCACAGUGAGCCUAUCUGCUUGAAGCCUCUACAACAUUCACAGUCUAGGGUUUCUAUUCUUAGUUAAACCUAUAAAUUACUCUUAAUUCUUCAGCCACUUUGGAUGCCACAAAAUUGGAUACAAAUCACCUUCUGAAGGCUCUGGCCUUGGCCGACUUCUCAGAGUCCUGCACCAACCCAGCCUUCGCACUCUGACUACCCCUGUGUUCCGUGUUAGUAUUUGAACUCCAUCUCCUGACUAUUGCCCAAGGACUGGCACACCUCACUGCAGAGCAGAAGUUCAUUUGAAAUGGGCUUGCAUCCCAGUCAUAAUGAUCAAGGUCUCAUGUGAAUUCCCAAGAGAACUAAUACACAUCUUUAUCAACACAAAGAAACAAUCUUCAUUAUUGUAGAACAAAUCAUAUUGUCAUUAUUUUUCCACUCCUUCCAAAAGCAAAUAACAUCCCCAUCUUCAUGAAUCAGGAAACUUUCAGAAUAUCAAAAUCACUAGGGACUAUGCCUCAGAAAAUAGUUUUAUAUUACCAACUUUCUAAGCCUCAGGUAAAAAAAAAAAAAAGAUAUUAAAAAAGCUUCUAGUGGACAGUGGAUUGUAUAUCAUGGAUGAUUGUAUGGUGUGUGAAUGUAUUUCAAUAAAACUGAAUUUAAUUUAAAAAAAAAGCUUCUAACCAAAAGAACCAAUAUACAGUUGAAAUCUUUAACUUAGAUUGCUACUUUCUGAUCACAAAUAUCAGCCUUUCUGCAUCACCACACAAUUCCCUUUCUUACUCCUCAAGAACCCUAGUUCCUGCCAACCACGUAGUGGUUAAGAGGAUGGUUUUUUAUGUCACCCUGAUUUGGUUUAAGUACAAGUCAUCUACAUAUUAGCUCUGUGACUUUUAGCACUCAGAUAAACCACAGAGUGCAAAGUCAAACGCCUGAGGAGAGCAGGAUGGUUAUGAUAUGAUGAUAGAGUAGCAAACUAGAUGCAAACCUCUUUAGAGGCAUUUUUAAAUUGCCGCAACAAAACGUCUCUUAGAAUAAAUCCAGCCCACAAACCAGAUUGUGACCUCUGAGUCUUAAUUCUCUGCCCUUCAUUCUCCUUAUCUGGAACAUUUAAUAAUUCAUAACGUUGUGAGGCCCAAAAGAGAUGAUGUGUACAGAGUGUAUAGCUAAUAGUAAAUGAUACUUAUAAUUCUAAGAGUUUUAUUCUCUUCUUUUUUGUAAACACUCUCCCUGGGUAAAUACCAUCCUCUAUAUUUUGAGAGUUCUACCUAGAUCUCUCCUUCUGAGCCCCAGAUUAUAGCCUCUCCACUAGGUUCUCAAGUCUGGGGGGACAAGAACCAUACCUGUCAUCCAACUCAGUCAGUAUGCAUUGUAAUUGCUCAGGACCAAAUUAAUAUUUUUUUCAGGUAACACCCUAAAAUAACUCUUCUAAGUUUUUCUAAACAAGAGCAAACUUAUUUGGCUAAUUUUUAAGGAAAAGUUUGUUAAGAAUUAGGAGGCAUCUUUCUUGUCUGUCAUUUUUCUCUUUAUAGUGCUUUAGAGUGAUUGUUGGAAAAUAUUCAUUUCUGGAUGCUCCAUUAUGUUUGACCUGUCCAGAAAUAGGCAUGGGCCUGGCUAGGAAAUAAUACCAAAUAGAUGAGAUUACUUAUCUAAUUAGUUUUAACAUAUCCAACUAUCUAUUGGACAUCUCCCCUUAACAGCCCAGAGGCACCUCAAAAUUCAACAUGCACAAAACUGAAAUCAUCCACUGUUACACUCCCCAACAGCACCACCAGACUUGUCCCUUCUGUGUUUUCUUUUACCAUGUUGCUUCUCCCCUUCACAAGCUUGUUCUUCCUUCUGUAUUUUAUCCCUUGGCUGGUAUCAUCUCCAUUUGCCCCAUUGCCCAAGCCAGAAAUUUGGAAGUCAAUCAAGACAUCCCUCUCUCAUUCAUCACUCAUAGCCAGAGAAUCACCGAGUCCUGUGUCUUGGACUCUGAUGUAUUUCUCAUAUUCAUCCUCUCUUUCCUAUUCACCCUGCUGCAAGAUAAUUUGACUCUCCAUUAUUUCUCACUACAUAAAUGGUCUCCGAGUUUCCACAUUUGCUUCUCUCCAAUCCACCUUUUAUGUAGCAGAUCUUAUGCUCCUGCUGAAACCCCACCACUGGACCCCUUGUCCUGCAGGAUGGUGUUCAAACUUGCAGGCAGCACAAGAAGCUCUCAGCAACCUGGCUCUUGCUUUCCCUCUUGCCACAACAUCUCCACACUUUAUACAUCACAGCUCCAAAAUGUCAAACUACUUGUGGUUCCCUUUGCACAUCCUGUUGUUCCAUACCUCC
Molecule: long non-coding RNA, 3668 nt
Organism: Choloepus didactylus (southern two-toed sloth)
Lineage: Eukaryota; Metazoa; Chordata; Mammalia; Pilosa; Megalonychidae
Exons: 3
Source: RefSeq, a predicted model, not a curated record